This 443-nucleotide ribosomal RNA is filed under the name uncultured bacterium. RNAcentral describes it as "partial 16S ribosomal RNA". It matches the Rfam family "Bacterial small subunit ribosomal RNA", at positions 338 to 795 of the family's 1533-position model. The record is from RNAcentral.
CCUACGGGAGGCAGCAGUGGGGGAUAUUGGGCAAUGGGCGCAAGCCUGACCCAGCAACGCCGCGUGGAGGAAGAAGGCUUUCGGGUUGUAAACUUCUUUUCUCAGGGACGAAACAAGUGACGGUACCUGAGGAAUAAGCCACGGCUAACUACGUGCCAGCCGCCGCGAUAAUACGUAGGUGGGAAGUGUUAUCAGGUUCUACUGGGUGUAAGGGGCGUGUAGGCGGGCAUGCAAGUCAGAUGUGAACACCCCGGGCUCAACCCGUGGACUGCAUUUGAAACUGUGUGUCUUGAGUACUGGAGGGGCAGGCGGAAUUCCUAGUGUAGCGGUGAAAUGCGUAGAUAUUAGGAGGAACAACAGUGGCGAAGGUGGUCUGCUGGACAGCAACUGACGCUGAGGCGCGAAAGCGUGGGGAGCAAACAGGAUUAGAUACCCGUGUAGUC